UGCAGUCGAAUGAAUCCCUGGGGGCUUGCUCCCAGGGGGAAAUGGCGAAAGGGGCAGUAAAGCGUGGAUAACCUACCUCGGGGACGGGGAUAGCCAUCCUAACGGAUGGGUAAUACCCGGCGAUCUGGCGAGAGGGCCUCUUCUUGCCAGGAAAGGAAUUUCGCCUCGAGAGGGGUUCACGUGCUAUUAGCUGGUUGGUGGGGUAACGGCCUACCAAGGCAAAGAUGGCUAGCGGGUGUGAGAGCACGACCCGCGCCACUGGCACUGAGACACUGGCCAGACUCCUACGGGAGGCUGCAGUCGAGGAUCUUCGGCAAUGGGCGCAAGCCUGACCGAGCGACGCCGCGUGUGUGAUGAAGGCCUUCGGGUUGUAAAGCACUGUCGAGGGGGAGGAAGCCCGCAAGGGUUGACCUAUCCCUGGAGGAAGCACGGGCUAAGUUCGUGCCAGCAGCCGCGGUAAGACGAACCGUGCAAACGUUGUUCGGAAUCACUGGGCUUAAAGGGCGCGUAGGCGGUCGGUCAAGUCUGGGGUGAAAUCUUUCGGCUCAACCGGAAACGUGCCCCGGAUACGGAUCGGCUGGAGGGAGGUAGGGGUCGACGGAACUUCCGGUGGAGCGGUGAAAUGCGUAGAUAUCGGAAGGAACACCGGUGGCGAAAGCGGUCGACUGGACCUUUACUGACGCUGAGGCGCGAAAGCCAGGGGAACAAACGGGAUUAGAUACCCCGGUAGUCCUGGCCCUAAACGAUGGGUACUAGGUAGAAGACUGGACAUGGGUUUUCUGCCGAAGCUAAGUGUUAAGUACCCCGCCUGGGGAGUAUGGUCGCAAGGCUGAAACUCA
This 839-nucleotide ribosomal RNA is filed under the name uncultured Planctomycetota bacterium. RNAcentral's name for it is "bacterial SSU rRNA". It matches the Rfam family "Bacterial small subunit ribosomal RNA", at positions 56 to 903 of the family's 1533-position model. The record is from RNAcentral. Lineage: Bacteria; Pseudomonadati; Planctomycetota.